UACAGAGGUCUCGAGCGUUGUUCGGAUUCAUUGGGCGUAAAGGGUGCGUAGGCGGCGUGGCAAGUCUGAUGUGAAAUCCCGGGGCUCAACCCCGGAACUGCAUUGGAUACUGCCAUGCUAGAGUACUGGAGAGGAGAUUGGAAUUUACGGUGUAGCAGUGAAAUGCGUAGAUAUCGGGAGGAACACCUGUGGCGAAAGCGGCUCACUGGACCACAACUGACGCUGAGGCGCGAAAGCUAGGGGAGCAAACAGG
This 253-nucleotide ribosomal RNA is filed under the name uncultured bacterium. Its description in RNAcentral is "partial 16S ribosomal RNA". It matches the Rfam family "Bacterial small subunit ribosomal RNA", at positions 524 to 776 of the family's 1533-position model. The record is from RNAcentral.